Long non-coding RNA from Notothenia coriiceps (black rockcod), 1137 nucleotides. RefSeq lists it as uncharacterized. NCBI's taxonomy places the organism in Eukaryota, Metazoa, Chordata, Actinopteri, Perciformes, Nototheniidae. The record is from RefSeq and is a predicted model, not a curated record. The transcript has 2 exons.
AGGGGAAACCCGAGAAAGCAUAUUACGGCCUGUUUAAAUCCGUAACAGUAGAUCAAAAAUGAUCUUCCACUCAUUGUCAUGGUUGUGCUUCUUUAGCGAACAUGGACGUGUUGACGCGGGUGUGCGUGGACUACGAGACGCUGCCCGGCUGGGGCUGCAGCACAGAGGACGCCCGAAGCUUCGAGGAGCUGCCGCUAAAUGCACAGAAAUACAUCCGCUUCAUCGAGGACUUCCUGCAAGUGCCAGUGAAGUGGGCCGGAGUCGGCAAGUCCAGAGAGAGCAUGGUCAAACUGUUUUGAUGGGACCUGUAGUCCUUCUCAAUGUCCGCUCCCAUAAUUCCAGGUUUCCAUAGGAUCACCGGAGGAGUCUCAAAUGCAAAAGCCUCCUACAGGAAUCACGUCACCAGCAAGGCUAUUUGGGAAACAUUUAGUUGCUGCUUCUGCAUCACAUUUUCCAAAAAUUCCUCUUAGAUAUAAUUUAUGCAUUCCACAUGAUGUUCGCUAUAUUUAUUAGGGUGUUCAUUUUUAAAAACUUGGUGCAAAUGGAUUGAUCAUUCUAUUACAUGUAGUUGUUCUGGUUCUUUGUAGCAUCUUAAGCUUACUUACCUUAAUUCAUAUCUGUUCUCCAUUUCUUUUUUGUUACAUAUAUUUGAAGAGCCAGUGAUGAGCAGGUGUAAAGCCUUUAUAUAAAAGGGCACAAUAAAACUAAAGAUCAUUUCCAGGCUUUUUAAAGAAAUGGAAAGAUGAUGGAAAGCCAUCGUUCGAUCAGAUUUUGAACUUUUCUAUUGAUCAAUUUUAAAACGCAUGAAUGCAUCUUGGUUAAGUUUGUAACAAUGUUUUCACAGUGAUUGUUGGAAUGAACUUAGUGCUUUUUAAGUCAUAUUUGAAAAUGAGUAAAUUCACAGCUUGACUUUAAAUGGAUGUUUUUCUUCAUAAUUAUUGAGGAAAAGUAGAAAUGUCCACGUCAACACGGAGUCAUUGGCUGGUCUGUGAAAUGUUUGUGUAAAUGUAAAGACAAUGGGCAGUAAUGUACCGAAGUGUAUCUCAAUAUGUUUCCUACGCCAUUUCAUUCCUCGGCAAUAAUGUAAAAGAAUCUUACUUGGCUUGCUGUUAUCAAUAAAAGGAAACUAACAUCUCA